RNAcentral lists this ribosomal RNA (356 nucleotides) under uncultured bacterium. RNAcentral's name for it is "bacterial SSU rRNA". It matches the Rfam family "Bacterial small subunit ribosomal RNA", at positions 29 to 359 of the family's 1533-position model. The record is from RNAcentral.
AAUCAACGCUGGCGGCGUGCCUAACACAUGCAAGUCGCGCGCGAAAGGGGGGGCAACCCCCGAGUAAAGACGGCGAACGGGUGAGUAACACGUGGGUAAUCUACCUUCGAGUGGGGAACGAACAUCGGGAAACGUAGGUGCUAAUUCCGCAUGACAUCGUCGGGGCGUUCGGUUCCGACGCUCAAAGACUGGGGAGUCGUAAGACCUAGCGCUUGAAGAUGAGCCCGCGUCCGAUUAGCUAGUUGGCGGGGUAAUAGCCCACCAAGGCUCCGAUCGGUAGCCGGCCUGAGGAGGGCGGGACGGCCACACUGGAACUGAGACACGGUCCAGACUCCUACGGGAGGCAGCAGGUGGGG